ACGGGAGGCAGCAGUGAGGAAUAUUGGUCAAUGGACGGAAGUCUGAACCAGCCAAGUCGCGUGCGGGAUGAAGGCCCUACGGGUCGUAAACCGCUUUUGUACGGGGAUAAAGUCACCCACGUGUGGGUGUUUGUAGGUACCGUAAGAAUAAGGAUCGGCUAACUCCGUGCCAGCAGCCGCGGUAAUACGGAGGAUGCGAGCGUUAUCCGGAUUUAUUGGGUUUAAAGGGUGCGUAGGCGGAUGAUUAAGUCAGCGGUGAAAGCGUGUUGCUCAACAAUACCAAGCCGUUGAAACUGGUUAUCUUGAGUGUAAACGAGGUAGGCGGAAUGUGACGUGUAGCGGUGAAAUGCUUAGAUAUGUCACAGAACCCCGAUUGCGAAGGCAGCUUACCAGCAUACAACUGACGCUGAGGCACGAAAGCGUGGGUAUCAAACAGGAUUAGAUACCCUGGUA
RNAcentral lists this ribosomal RNA (453 nucleotides) under uncultured Paludibacter sp. RNAcentral's name for it is "bacterial SSU rRNA". It matches the Rfam family "Bacterial small subunit ribosomal RNA", at positions 341 to 792 of the family's 1533-position model. Lineage: Bacteria; Pseudomonadati; Bacteroidota; Bacteroidia; Bacteroidales; Paludibacteraceae. The record is from RNAcentral.